CUCAUUUCCUUCUCACUUAUUUCCUUCUCACACGCAGUAUCUAUUCCACCAAAACCAAACAACGCUACCUUUCCGAUGGAGCAAGUAGACGAAGAAUCAUUCAAAUCCGUCAGCAAGAAAGCUUCCAAGAAGGAGGCUGCUAAACAAGAGAAGUUACGCCGCCGCCACGAAGCUGCGUUAGCCUCCGCCGCCGCAUCGCUCGCCAUUGGGGAGGAGGAAGAUCCAUUGGCUGUCAAUUAUGGUAAUGUGCCGCUGUAUGAGCUGCAAUCGAAGGAGGAGACGGAUCUUAGCGAGUGGACUAGAGUUGGGGACUUAAGCGAGGGGUUGAAGGAUAAGAAGGUGUUAAUAAGGGGCCGGGCGCAGACGACUCGUGCAGUGGGUAAGAAUAUGGCAUUUGUGGUGGUUAGACAGAAAGGAUUCACUGUGCAGUGCGUGGUUACUGUUCAUCCUGACUUGGUUAGCCGGCAAAUGGUGAAGUUUGUAGCCGGGCUGAGCCGUGAGUCCAUUAUCGAUGUUCAAGGCUUGGUUUCUGUCCCUUCUGUGCCUAUCAAAGGCACUACACAGCAGGUUGAAGUCCAAGUCAGGAAACUCCAUUGUAUUAGCAAAGCUAUGCCAACUCUACCCAUUAAUAUUGAGGAUGCAGCUAGAAGUGAGAAAGAAAUUGAGGAAGCUUUGCAGGCUGGAGAACAACUUGUUCGUGUUAACCAGGAUACACGUCUGAAUUAUAGAGUUCUGGACAUGCGAACACCUGCUAACCAAGGAAUUUUCCGUAUUCAGCAUGAAGUUGGCAGUAUAUUUAGGAAGUUUUUACAAUCAGAAGGCUUUGAAGAAAUCCACACUCCAAAAUUAAUAGCAGGAACCAGUGAAGGUGGUUCUGCUGUAUUUAAGCUGGACUACAAAGGGCAACCUGCAUGCUUGGCACAGUCACCUCAGCUUCACAAGCAAAUGGCCAUUUGCGGUGAUAAAGAGCGUGUUUUUGAGGUUGGUCCUGUUUUCAGAGCAGAGGACUCUUACACUCAUAGGCAUCUAUGCGAAUUUGUUGGUCUUGAUGUUGAAAUGGAGAUUAAAAAACACUAUUCUGAGGUAAUGGAUAUUGUUGAUCGAUUAUUUGUCACAAUGUUUGACCAUUUGAAUGAGAAGUGCAAGAAGGAACUUGAAGCUGUUCGGAGGCAAUAUCCUUUUGAACCUCUGAAGUACCUGCGAAAGACUCUACGGCUAAGAUUUGAAGAAGGGGUUCAAAUGCUCAAGGAAGCAGGAGUGGAAGUCGAUCCUUAUGGGGACUUGAAUACAGAGUCAGAGAAAAAAUUAGGCCAGCUAGUUUUAGAGAAGUAUGGGACUGAAUUCUACAUUCUUCAUCGCUAUCCUUUGGCUGUUAGGCCAUUCUACACCAUGCCAUGCUAUGAUGAUGCAAAAUAUAGUAAUUCGUUUGAUGUCUUUAUUCGAGGUGAGGAAAUAAUUUCCGGAGCUCAACGUGUCCAUGUACCUGAGUUGCUGGAAGAACGUGCAAAUGCAUGUGGCAUUGAUGUCAAUACAAUAACAACGUACAUUGAUUCUUUCAGGUAUGGUGCACCUCCACAUGGCGGGUUCGGAGUGGGGUUAGAGCGUGUGGUAAUGUUAUUCUGUGGUCUGAAUAACAUUCGCAAAACAUCGCUUUUCCCUCGUGACCCACUUAGGCUUGCCCCUUGAUUUGUUUAAGCACAGCAUCAUCCUUUGUUUUGCUAAGAUUAUACUAUAUCUUUUCUCCUCCUGGAAGUUUUAGGUUACAAAAGUGGAAAAAA
This 1778-nucleotide unclassified non-coding RNA is filed under the name Hevea brasiliensis (rubber tree). Lineage: Eukaryota; Viridiplantae; Streptophyta; Magnoliopsida; Malpighiales; Euphorbiaceae. The record is from RNAcentral.